This 440-nucleotide ribosomal RNA is filed under the name uncultured bacterium. RNAcentral describes it as "partial 16S ribosomal RNA". It matches the Rfam family "Bacterial small subunit ribosomal RNA", at positions 338 to 795 of the family's 1533-position model. The record is from RNAcentral.
CCUACGGGAGGCAGCAGUGGGGAAUAUUGGACAAUGGGGGGAACCCUGAUCCAGCGACGCCGCGUGAGUGAAGAAGUAUUUCGGUAUGUAAAGCUCUAUCAGCAGGGAAGAAAAUGACGGUACCUGACUAAGAAGCCCCGGCUAACUACGUGCCAGCAGCCGCGGUUAUACGUAGGGGGCAAGCGGUAUCCGGCUUUACUUGGGGUAAAGGGAGCGUAGACGGUGCUGCAAGUCUGACGGGAAAGGUCGGGGCCCAACCCCGGGACUGCAGUGGAAACUGUUGAACUGGAGUACAGGAGAGGUAAGCGGAAUGCCUGGUGUAGCGGUGAAAUGCGUAGAUAUUAGGAGGAACACCAGUGGCGAAGGCGGCUUACUGGACUGUGACUGACGUUGAGGCUCGAAAGCGUGGGGAGCGAACAGGAUUAGAUACCCGGGUAGUC